UACGUAGGGGGCAAGCGUUAUCCGGAAUUACUGGGUGUAAAGGGUGAGUAGGCGGCAUGGUAAGCCUGAUGUGAAAGCCUUGGGCUUAACCCGAGGAUUGCAUUUGGAACUAUCAAGCUAGAGUACAGGAGAGGAAAGCGGAAUUCCUAGUGUAGCGGUGAAAUGCGUAGAUAUUAGGAAGAACACCAGUGGCGAAGGCGGCUUUCUGGACUGAAACUGACGCUGAGGCACGAAAGCGUGGGGAGCGAACAGG
This 253-nucleotide ribosomal RNA is filed under the name uncultured bacterium. RNAcentral's name for it is "partial 16S ribosomal RNA". It matches the Rfam family "Bacterial small subunit ribosomal RNA", at positions 524 to 776 of the family's 1533-position model. The record is from RNAcentral.